UUAUUUUUUACAUAAAUUGCAGAGUAAGUGCCUUUUUAAGAUGGACUAAAGUGAAAAGAGAUCUUUUGUUUGGUUUUUUUUUUUGUUUUUUUUUUGUUUUUUUUUUUUUUGGUUGUUGUUUGUUUCCUUCAGUGAAAUUAGAAAAUUGAGAUGUGACGCAACUUUUCUUCUUCUGAGAAGCUGGGAUGAGCUUAGAAUCAGGCUGUCUCAAACAGAAACAGAUCCUAUAAAACACUGGAAAUAAUAUAAAAAUGGAGCAUCACUGUCAAGCUAUCAAAAAGAAAUCAAACUUUCAAUACAUAGAACAAAGAAUCUUUAAGAAGACAACCUUUCGUCAGAAGUCUUGGUAAACUUACUCCGAUGAACUUAAUGAAAUUGGACCUGACUCUGCUUUUAAAUCUCAUAAAAUUGCCUACUUCUUGACAUUUCUUGUAUUGGUUCAUUUCUCCCUAUGGAAAUAUACCGAAGGCAAAAAGAGAAAAAUCU
This 486-nucleotide long non-coding RNA is filed under the name Phasianus colchicus (ring-necked pheasant). Its description in RNAcentral is "lncRNA (ENSPCLG00000000195.1)". The record is from RNAcentral. Lineage: Eukaryota; Metazoa; Chordata; Aves; Galliformes; Phasianidae.